AUUGAACGCUGGCGGCAUGCCUUACACAUGCAAGUCGAACGGCAGCACGGGUGCUUGCACCUGGUGGCGAGUGGCGAACGGGUGAGUAAUACAUCGGAACGUACCUUAUCGUGGGGGAUAACGCAGCGAAAGCUGUGCUAAUACCGCAUACGCCCUGAGGGGGAAAGCGGGGGAUCGAAAGACCUCGCGCGAUUAGAGCGGCCGAUGCCUGAUUAGCUUGUUGGUGGGGUAAAAGCCCACCAAGGCGACGAUCAGUAGCUGGUCUGAGAGGACGAUCAGCCACACGGGGACUGAGACACGGCCCAGACUCCUACGGGAGGCAGCAGUGGGGAAUUUUGGACAAUGGGGGCAACCCUGAUCCAGCAACGCCGCGUGAGUGAAGAAGGCCUUCGGGUUGUAAAGCUCUUUUGUCAGGGAAGAAACACCGGCUCUAACACAGUCCGGGAAUGACGGUACCUGAAGAAUAAGCACCGGCUAACUACGUGCCAGCCGCCGCGGUAA
This 501-nucleotide ribosomal RNA is filed under the name uncultured bacterium. RNAcentral describes it as "partial 16S ribosomal RNA". It matches the Rfam family "Bacterial small subunit ribosomal RNA", at positions 29 to 523 of the family's 1533-position model. The record is from RNAcentral.